This 250-nucleotide ribosomal RNA is filed under the name uncultured bacterium. Its description in RNAcentral is "partial 16S ribosomal RNA". It matches the Rfam family "Bacterial small subunit ribosomal RNA", at positions 524 to 773 of the family's 1533-position model. The record is from RNAcentral.
UACGGAGGGUGCGAGCGUUAAUCGGAAUUACUGGGCGUAAAGCGCACGUAGGCGGUCGGAUAAGUCGGAUGUGAAAGCCCUGGGCUUAACCUGGGAACUGCAUUCGAUACUGUCUGGCUAGAGUAUGGGAGAGGGAAGCAGAAUUUCCGGUGUAGCGGUGAAAUGCGUAGAUAUCGGAAGGAAUACCAAUGGCGAAGGCAGCUUCCUGGCCCAAUACUGACGCUCAGGUGCGAAAGCGUGGGGAUCAAAC